Non-coding RNA from Pelobates cultripes (western spadefoot toad), 221 nucleotides. NCBI's taxonomy places the organism in Eukaryota, Metazoa, Chordata, Amphibia, Anura, Pelobatidae. The record is from the annotation of a GenBank genome assembly.
GUUUCUCUCUCUCCCCCAACCAUUUCCGCUUCCAGCAAUCUCAGUGACUCAUUGCAACAAGUUACCUUUUAAGUUGGGAGAAAUUCUUUUAUUUUUUUGCAGUGGUUGUGCUGUUUUCUCAUCUUCACCACUUUCAAGAAUCUGCAAAAUUCCCCGAAUUUCCUCCUUGGAGUCAGUUCCUCUGCCUCCUCCUCUCAGAGCUGGAUUCUGGAUACAUACUG